RNAcentral lists this unclassified non-coding RNA (336 nucleotides) under soil metagenome. RNAcentral's name for it is "partial contains 5.8S ribosomal RNA, internal transcribed spacer 2, and large subunit ribosomal RNA". The stretch from base 1 to 120 matches the Rfam family "5.8S ribosomal RNA", at positions 35 to 154 of the family's 154-position model. The record is from RNAcentral.
GAUGAAGAACGUAGCGAAAUGCGAUAAGUAAUGUGAAUUGCAGAAUUCAGUGAAUCAUCGAAUCUUUGAACGCACAUUGCUCCCGCCAGUAUUCUGGCGGGCAUGCCUGUUCGAGCGUCAUUUCAACCAUCAAGCCCCCGGGCUUGUGUUGGGGACCUGCGGCUGCCGCAGGCCCUGAAAAGCAGUGGCGGGCUCGCUGUCACACCGAGCGUAGUAGCAUACAUCUCGCUCUGGGCGUGCUGCGGGUUCCGGCCGUUAAACCACCUUUUAACCCAAGGUUGACCUCGGAUCAGGUAGGAAGACCCGCUGAACUUAAGCAUAUCAAUAAGCGGAGGA